AUGGUUUGGGCAUAUACAACGCAGCCUCCAGAACCUCCAAUGCAUAGCGGACGGUUAAAGUGUGCUGAUAAUGUCAAGAGAGGUCGGGGUAGACCAAACUUGAAAUGGGAGGAGUCCUUAAAGAGAGAUCUGAAGUACUGGAAUAUCACCAAAGAACUAGCCAUGCACAGGGGUGCGUGGAAGUUAGCUAUCCACAUGCCAAAACCAUUAGUUGGUUCAAGAUCUUAUGGGUUUCAGCUCAGGCCUACCCCAACUUGUUUGGGACUAAAGGCUUUGUUGUUGUUGCAGGUCGAAUUAUGCAUACAUUUGGCCUCUGAUUUGUACCAAGUAGUUCAGUUUUCAUGUGUUACUACCGACUACCGUAUUAUGUAG
This 372-nucleotide ribosomal RNA is filed under the name Triticum aestivum (bread wheat). RNAcentral describes it as "partial small subunit ribosomal RNA". The record is from RNAcentral. Lineage: Eukaryota; Viridiplantae; Streptophyta; Magnoliopsida; Poales; Poaceae.